RNAcentral lists this ribosomal RNA (465 nucleotides) under Vreelandella stevensii. Its description in RNAcentral is "partial 16S ribosomal RNA". It matches the Rfam family "Bacterial small subunit ribosomal RNA", at positions 338 to 795 of the family's 1533-position model. The record is from RNAcentral. Lineage: Bacteria; Pseudomonadati; Pseudomonadota; Gammaproteobacteria; Oceanospirillales; Halomonadaceae.
CCUACGGGGGGCAGCAGUGGGGAAUAUUGGACAAUGGGGGCAACCCUGAUCCAGCCAUGCCGCGUGUGUGAAGAAGGCCCUCGGGUGGUAAAGCACUUUCAGUGAGGAAGAACGCCUGGUGGUUAAUACCCAUCAGGAAAGACAUCACUCACAGAAGAAGCACCGGCUAACUCCGUGCCAGCAGCCGCGGUAAUACGGAGGGUGCGAGCGUUAAUCGGAAUUACUGGGCGUAAAGCGCGCGUAGGUGGCUUGAUAAGCCGGUUGUGAAAGCCCCGGGCUCAACCUGGGAACGGCAUCCGGAACUGUCAAGCUAGAGUGCAGGAGAGGAAGGUAGAAUUCCCGGUGUAGCGGUGAAAUGCGUAGAGAUCGGGAGGAAUACCAGUGGCGAAGGCGGCCUUCUGGACUGACACUGACACUGAGGUGCGAAAGCGUGGGUAGCAAACAGGAUUAGAUACCCCUGUAGUC